This 97-nucleotide non-coding RNA is filed under the name Aerococcus sanguinicola. RNAcentral describes it as "TPP sequence". It matches the Rfam family "TPP riboswitch aptamer (THI element)". From Rfam's summary of the family: Vitamin B(1) in its active form thiamin pyrophosphate (TPP) is an essential coenzyme that is synthesised by coupling of pyrimidine and thiazole moieties in bacteria. Lineage: Bacteria; Bacillati; Bacillota; Bacilli; Lactobacillales; Aerococcaceae. The record is from Rfam by way of RNAcentral.
CUAGAACACUAGGGGAACCAAAAGGUUGAGAUACGUCAGUAGACCCUUAAAACUUGAUCUAGUUAAGACUAGCGUAAGGAAGUGUAUAAGCAAGGCA